AGUGAACGCUGGCGGUAGGCCUAACACAUGCAAGUCGAACGGCAGCACAGUAAGAGCUUGCUCUUACGGGUGGCGAGUGGCGGACGGGUGAGGAAUACAUCGGAAUCUACUUUUUCGUGGGGGAUAACGUAGGGAAACUUACGCUAAUACCGCAUACGACCUACGGGUGAAAGCAGGGGAUCUUCGGACCUUGCGCGAUUGAAUGAGCCGAUGUCGGAUUAGCUAGUUGGCGGGGUAAAGGCCCACCAAGGCGACGAUCCGUAGCUGGUCUGAGAGGAUGAUCAGCCACACUGGAACUGAGACACGGUCCAGCCUCCUACGGGAGGCAGCAGUGGGGAAUAUUGGACAAUGGGCGCAAGCCUGAUCCAGCCAUACCGCGUGGGUGAAGAAGGCCUUCGGGUUUUAAAGCCCUUUUGUUGGGAAAGAAAAGCAGCAGGUUAAUACCCCGCUGUUCUGACGGUACCCAAAGAAUAAGCACCGGCUAACUUCGUG
This 492-nucleotide ribosomal RNA is filed under the name uncultured bacterium. RNAcentral's name for it is "partial 16S ribosomal RNA". It matches the Rfam family "Bacterial small subunit ribosomal RNA", at positions 29 to 507 of the family's 1533-position model. The record is from RNAcentral.